RNAcentral lists this ribosomal RNA (236 nucleotides) under uncultured bacterium. RNAcentral's name for it is "partial 16S ribosomal RNA". It matches the Rfam family "Bacterial small subunit ribosomal RNA", at positions 1255 to 1500 of the family's 1533-position model. The record is from RNAcentral.
CGGCGACGCCGAGCGGAACCCGAAAAGCCGCUCAGUUCGGAUUGGAGUCUGCAACCCGACUCCAUGAAGCUGGAUUCGCUAGUAAUCGCGCAUCAGCCACGGCGCGGUGAAUACGUUCCCGGGCCUUGUACACACCGCCCGUCAAGCCAUGGGAGCCGGGAGUGCCUGAAGUACGUGACCGCAAGGAGCGUCCUAGGGUAAGACCGGUGACUGGGGCUAAGUCGUAACAAGGUAUC